GGAAACAGGUGCUAAUACCGUAUAACACUAUUUUCCGCAUGGAAGAAAGUUGAAAGGCGCUUUUGCGCCACUGAUGGAUGGACCCGCGGUGCAUUAGCUAGUUGGUGAGGUAACGGCUCACCAAGGCCACGAUGCAUAGCCGACCUGAGAGGGUGAUCGGCCACACUGGGACUGAGACACGGCCCAGACUCCUACGGGAGGCAGCAGUAGGGAAUCUUCGGCAAUGGACGAAAGUCUGACCGAGCAACGCCGCGUGAGUGAAGAAGGUUUUCGGAUCGUAAAACUCUGUUGUUAGAGAAGAACAAGGAUGAGAGUAAAACGUUCAUCCCUUGACGGUAUCUAACCAGAAAGCCACGGCUAACUACGUGCCAGCAGCCGCGGUAAUACGUAGGUGGCAAGCGUUGUCCGGAUUUAUUGGGCGUAAAGCGAGCGCAGGCGGUUUCUUAAGUCUGAUGUGAAAGCCCCCGGCUCAACCGGGGAGGGUCAUUGGAAACUGGGAGACUUGAGUGCAGAAGAGGAGAGUGGAAUUCCAUGUGUAGCGGUGAAAUGCGUAGAUAUAUGGAGGAACACCAGUGGCGAAGGCGGCUCUCUGGUCUGUAACUGACGCUGAGGCUCGAAAGCGUGGGGAGCGAACAGGAUUAGAUACCCUGGUAGUCCACGCCGUAAACGAC
Molecule: ribosomal RNA, 671 nt
Filed under: uncultured bacterium
Lineage: Bacteria
Description: bacterial SSU rRNA
Rfam family: Bacterial small subunit ribosomal RNA
Source: RNAcentral